Molecule: ribosomal RNA, 274 nt
Filed under: uncultured bacterium
Lineage: Bacteria
Description: partial 16S ribosomal RNA
Rfam family: Bacterial small subunit ribosomal RNA
Source: RNAcentral
CUACGGAGAGUGCAAGCGUUAUUCGGAAUCACUGGGCGUAAAGGACGCGUAGGCGGGGUGGAAAGUCAGAUGUGAAAUCCUACAGCUUAACUGUAGAACUGCAUUUGAAACUGCUAACCUAGAGUAUGGGAGGGGGAGAUGGAAUUAGUGGUGUAGGGGUAAAAUCCGUAGAUAUCACUAGGAAUACCGAAAGCGAAGGCGAUCUCCUGGAACAUAACUGACGCUAAGGCGUGAAAGCGUGGGGAGCGAACAGGAUUAGAUACCCUAGUAGUCC